Molecule: ribosomal RNA, 253 nt
Filed under: uncultured bacterium
Lineage: Bacteria
Description: partial 16S ribosomal RNA
Rfam family: Bacterial small subunit ribosomal RNA
Source: RNAcentral
UACGUAGGGGGCAAGCGUUAUCCGGAUUUACUGGGUGUAAAGGGAGCGUAGACGGUGAUGCAAGUCAGAAGUGAAAGCCCGCGGCUCAACUGCGGGACUGCUUUUGAAACUGUAUGACUAGAGCGCAGGAGAGGUAAGCGGAAUUCCUAGUGUAGCGGUGAAAUGCGUAGAUAUUAGGAGGAACACCAGUGGCGAAGGCGGCUUACUGGACUGUAACUGACGUUGAGGCUCGAAAGCGUGGGGAGCAAACAGG